Molecule: long non-coding RNA, 225 nt
Filed under: Musa acuminata (dwarf banana)
Lineage: Eukaryota; Viridiplantae; Streptophyta; Magnoliopsida; Zingiberales; Musaceae
Description: long non-coding RNA (MACU_LNC009872)
Source: RNAcentral
GAAAUUAAGUUUCGUGAGAAACUUGGUACAUAAAAGGUUCUUUUCAAUUUUAAAACAAAACCACUACUUAAAGUUAAAAUGCAUGUUUCAAUUGCUUCCACACGUGAGCCCAUCUUAUUUCCUGAUAAGAUGCUUUGCUCACUUCCCACUGGCUUCCUUAGGUUUUGCAUACCCUGCAAAGAGUUUGCAAUAUGGAUUGUUGAUCCAGAGUCAAUCCACCAGGUG